This is a ribosomal RNA of 2887 nucleotides. It matches the Rfam family "Bacterial large subunit ribosomal RNA". The record is from Rfam.
GGUUAAGCAAGUAAGGGCGCUUGGUGGAUGCCUUGGCGCAUACAGGCGAUGAAGGACGUGGCUAGCUGCGAUAAGCCUCGUGGAGCCGCAAGCAGGCAGUGAUACGGGGAUUUCCGAAUGGGGUAACCCAGCCUCUUAGAGGCUAGCCCCGCAAGGGGCGGCGAACCCAGGGAAGUGAACCAUCUCAGUACCUGGAGGAAAAGAAAACAACCGUGAUUCCCUGAGUAGCGGCGAGCGAAACGGGAAGAGCCUAAACCAGUCACCCUGGUGGCUGGGGUCGUGGGGGUGCUUCGGGCGCAAGCCGGGAAGUUACCAAACAACGUGUUAGCCGAAGUGCUUGGAAAAGCACGCCAAAGAACGUGAAAGCCGUGUAAGCGAAAACACGUUGUCUUUCUGGAAGCACUACCCGAGUAACGCGGGACACGUGAGAUCUUGCGUGAAUCCGGGAGAACCAUCUCCUAAGGCUAAAUACUCGUAUGCGACCGAUAGUGAACUAGUACCGUGAGGGAAAGGUGAAAAGAACCCCGGUGAGGGGAGUGAAAUAGAACCUGAAACCAAGCGCUUACAAGCAGUGGGAGGGCUACGUGCCUGACCUCGUGCCUUUUGCAUAAUGAGCUGGCUAGUGAAUGUCACGAGCAAGGUUAAGCGAUAAGCGAGCCGUAGCGAAAGCGAGUCUUAACAGGGCGUUGAGUUCGUGGCAUUCGGACGUGAAGCGGAUUGAUCUAUUCUUGGCCAGGUUGAAGCGUAGGUAAAACUACGUGGAGGACCGAACCAGUGUUGGUUGAAAACAGCUUGGAUGAGCUGAGAAUAGGGGUGAAAGGCCAAUCAAAAUCCGUGAUAGCUCGUUCUCCCCGAAAUAUCUUUAGGGAUAGCCUCAAGUAUAUUCACGAGCGGUAAAGCACUAUUUGAGCUAGGGGCCUUACCCGGUUACCAAACUCAGAGAAACUCUGAAUGCUCGUGAAGUGAGCUUGGGAGUCAGACGGUGGGGGCUAAGCUCCAUCGUCAAGAGGGAAACAGCCCAGAUCAAUGGCUAAGGUCCCGGAGUUGCAGCUAAGUGGGAAAGGAUGUGAAGAUGCCCAGACAGCUAGGAGGUUGGCUUAGAAGCAGCCAUCCUUUAAAGAAAGCGUAAUAGCUCACUAGUCGAGUGUCUUUGCACCGAUAAUGUAACGGGGCUCAAGCUGCACACCGAAGCCUUGAACUCUGUGAGGAGUGGUAGGGGAGCAUUCUCGAACUGCGAAGCCGAACUGAGAAGUCGGAUGGAGUGUCGAGAAAAGACUUUGCCAGCAUAAGUAGCGAUAACGACUGUGAGAAUCAGUCGCGCCGCAAGCCUAAGGUUUCCUGAGUAAAGUUCGUCUGCUCAGGGUUAGCCGAUCCCUAAGGAAAAGCCGAAAGGCGUAUUCGAUGGGUGUCCGGUGAAUAUUCCGGAGCUGAAAGCAAGCGUUUGAGCAUGGGGUGACGCAUUCUCAAGGGAUAGACUACUGAUGGAAUAGUAGUUGAUCCGCUCUGGCUUGAUCCGCAGGCAAAUCCACGGAUCACGAGAGUUGGGGCGGGGACGAAAGUCCUGCUUCGGCAGGACGCAAGUAUCUGGAGAGGGUGCCAAGAAAAACCUCGUUUGCGAGCUUGUUUUUCAAUCGUACCGCAAACCGACACAGGUAGGCGAGGAGAGUAUCCUAAGGCGCAUGUGAGAACACUCGUUCAGGAACUCGGCAAAUUGACCCCGUAACUUCGGGAGAAGGGGUGCCUGCCUUGCGCAGGCCGCAGAGAAUAGCAUCAGGCGACUGUUUACUAAAAACACAGGUCUCCGCUAAGUCGUCAAGACGACGUAUGGGGGCUGACGCCUGCCCAAUGCUGGAAGGUUAAAAGGAGGGGUGAGAUCAUAUCAGGCCCUGAAUUGAAGCCCCAGUGAAUGGCGGCCGUAACUAUAACGGUCCUAAGGUAGCGAAAUUCCUUGUCGGGUAAGUUCCGACCCGCACGAAUGGCGUAACGAUCUGAUGACUGUCUUAACGAGUGGCACAGCGAAUUUGUAGUACCGGUGAAGAUGCCGGUUUCCCGCAUCUAGACGGAAAGACCCCGUGCACCUUUACUACAGCCUGAUAUUGAACUGAAAAGUUUUUUGCGCAGGAUAGGUGGGAGACUGCGAAGCUGGGCUUUCGGGUUCAGUGGAGUCGCCGGUGAGAUACCACCCUGAAAGCUUUUGAGUUCUAAUCUGCCCGCAAGGGAGUGACAGUGUCAGGUGGGUAGUUUGACUGGGGCGGUCGCCUCCUAAAAAGUAACGGAGGCUCCCAAAGGUUGGCUCAAGGUGUUUGGAAAUCACCUGUAGAGUGUAAAGGCAUAAGCCAGCUUGACUGUGAGACAGACAAGUCGAACAGAGACGAAAGUCGGGCUUAGUGAUCCGGCGGUUCCGAAUGGGAGGGCCGUCGCUCAAAGGAUAAAAGGUACGCCGGGGAUAACAGGCUGAUCGCCGCCAAGAGUCCACAUCGACGCGGCGGUUUGGCACCUCGAUGUCGGCUCAUCGCAUCCUGGGGCUGAAGAAGGUCCCAAGGGUUCGGCUGUUCGCCGAUUAAAGCGGUACGUGAGCUGGGUUUAGAACGUCGCGAGACAGUUCGGUCCCUAUCUGGUGUGGGCGUUGGAAGUUUGACGGAGGCUGACCCUAGUACGAGAGGACCGGGUUGGACCAACCUCUGGUGUACCUGUUGUUGCGCCUAGCAGCACCGCAGGGUAGCUAAGUUGGGUAUAGAUAAGCGCUGAAAGCAUAUAAGCGCGAAGCUAGUCCGAAGAUAAGACUUCCCCAUCAGGUUGGUAGAAGACUACUACGUUGAUAGGCGAGAGGUGUAAGUGCAGUAAUGCAUUGAGCUGACUCGUACUAAUAACCGAUCGGCUUAACCAC